Molecule: ribosomal RNA, 208 nt
Filed under: uncultured bacterium
Lineage: Bacteria
Description: partial 16S ribosomal RNA
Rfam family: Bacterial small subunit ribosomal RNA
Source: RNAcentral
UGUGUAGGCGGGCUGUCAAGUCAGAUGUGAAAACUAUGGGCUUAACCCAUAGCCUGCAUUUGAAACUGAUGGUCUUGAGAGUGGGAGAGGUAAACGGAAUUCCGAGUGUAGCGGUGAAAUGCGUAGAUAUUCGGAGGAACACCGGUGGCGAAGGCGGUUUACUGGACCAUUACUGACGCUGAGACACGAAAGCGUGGGGAGCAAAACA